This 253-nucleotide ribosomal RNA is filed under the name uncultured bacterium. RNAcentral describes it as "partial 16S ribosomal RNA". It matches the Rfam family "Bacterial small subunit ribosomal RNA", at positions 524 to 776 of the family's 1533-position model. The record is from RNAcentral.
UACGUAGGGGGCAAGCGUUGUCCGGAAUCAUUGGGCGUAAAGAGCUCGUAGGCGGCUUGUCGCGUCGUUCGUGAAAACCUGCAGCUCAACUGCAGGCUUGCGGUCGAUACUGGCAGGCUAGAGUGCGGUAGAGGGUAGUGGAAUUCCCGGUGUAGCGGUGAAAUGCGUAGAGAUCGGGAGGAACACCAGUGGCGAAGGCGGCUACCUGGACCAGCACUGACACUGAGGCACGAAAGCGUGGGGAGCAAACAGG